RNAcentral lists this long non-coding RNA (455 nucleotides) under Capsicum annuum. Its description in RNAcentral is "long non-coding RNA (CANN_LNC011397)". Lineage: Eukaryota; Viridiplantae; Streptophyta; Magnoliopsida; Solanales; Solanaceae. The record is from RNAcentral.
UUACUCCUCCUCAUCCUUGUUGCUGUUGCUGCUACUGUCGUCUAUUUUGUUGUGUUUAAGAACAAGACCGAUGAUGCCUCAGCUAAUAAAUCUAACAAGCACGCCUCAAUGCCCCCUCCAAAAGAACUAACCAUCCCUGCAACACCACCUCCUAAGACUGAUGCAUCACCACCACCUUCUCCUUCUAACGCUGAUUCAGCACCGCCUUCCAAUGAAGGUUCUGAUGCCCCUCCGCCAAAGGAGGAUGGUGCUGCUGUCCCUCCACCAAAGAAGGAUGGUGCUGCAGCAUCACCGGCUGGGGAUGUAGCACAUCCUUCACCACCAGUAGAUGGGGCAGGAACUCCUGCUCCAUCACCCCAAGAGGAUGAUAAUGCAGCAGCCCCAGCCCCUUCACCCCAAGCUGAUGGAGCUUUAGGAGCAAUAUGUGCAGCCACAGAUUUCAGUCAAAGUUGUGG